GUGCUCGCUUCGGCAGCACAUAUACUAAAAUUGGAACGAUACAGAGAAGAUUAACAUGGCCCCUGCACAAGGAUGACAUGCAAAU
This 85-nucleotide small nuclear RNA is filed under the name Cervus elaphus hippelaphus. Lineage: Eukaryota; Metazoa; Chordata; Mammalia; Artiodactyla; Cervidae. The record is from RNAcentral.